This 605-nucleotide ribosomal RNA is filed under the name Vibrio alginolyticus. RNAcentral's name for it is "bacterial SSU rRNA". It matches the Rfam family "Bacterial small subunit ribosomal RNA", at positions 72 to 677 of the family's 1533-position model. Lineage: Bacteria; Pseudomonadati; Pseudomonadota; Gammaproteobacteria; Vibrionales; Vibrionaceae. The record is from RNAcentral.
GCAACGAUAACGGCGUCGAGCGGCGGACGGGUGAGUAAUGCCUAGGAAAUUGCCCUGGUGUGGGGGAUAACCAUUGGAAACGAUGGCUAAUACCGCGUGAUGCCUACGGGCCAUAGAGGGGGACCUUCGGGCCUCUCGCGGCAGGAUAUGCCUAGGUGGGAUUAGCUAGUUGGCGAGGUAAGGGCUCGCCAAGGCGACGAUCCCUAGCUGGUCUGAGAGGAUGAUCAGCCACACUGGAACUGAGACACGGUCCAGACUCCUACGGGAGGCAGCAGUGGGGAAUAUUGCACAAUGGGCGCAAGCCUGAUGCAGCCAUGCCGCGUGUGUGAAGAAGGCCUUCGGGUUGUAAAGCACUUUCAGGCGUGAGGAAGGGGGGGACGUUAAUAGCAGAUUCAUUUGACGUUAGCGACAGAAUAAGCACCGGCUAGCUCCGUGCCAGCAGCCGCGGUAAUACGGAGGGUGCGAGCGUUAAUCGGAAUUACUGGGCGUAGAGCGCAUGCACGUGGUUUGUUAAGUCAGAUGUGAAAGCCCGGGGCUCAACCUCGGAAUAGCAUUUGAAACUGGCAGACUAGAGUACUGUAUAGGGGGGUAGAAUUUCAGGUGUA